ACUCCUACGGGAGGCAGCAGUGGGGAAUAUUGGACAAUGGGCGGAAGCCUGAUCCAGCAACGCCGCGUGAGGGAUGACGGCCUUCGGGUUGUAAACCUCUUUCAGCUCCGACGAAGUUGCUCCUUUUUGGGGGUGGUGACGGUAGGGGCAGAAGAAGGACCGGCCAACUACGUGCCAGCAGCCGCGGUAAUACGUAGGGUCCGAGCGUUGUCCGGAAUUAUUGGGCGUAAAGGGCUCGUAGGCGGUUUGUCGCGUCGGGAGUGAAAACACCGGGCUUAACUCGGUGCUUGCUUUCGAUACGGGCAGACUAGAGGUAUGCAGGGGAGAACGGAAUUCCUGGUGUAGCGGUGAAAUGCGCAGAUAUCAGGAGGAACACCGGUGGCGAAGGCGGUUCUCUGGGCAUUACCUGACGCCGGGGAGCGAAAGUGUGGGGAGCGAACAGGAUUAGAUACCCUGGUAGUCCACACCGUAAACGUUGGGCGCUAGGUGUGGGAUCCAUUCCACGGGUUCCGUGCCGUAGCUAACGCAUUAAGCGCCCCGCCUGGGGAGUACGGCCGCAAGGCUAAAACUCAAAGGAAUUGACGGGGGCCCGCACAAGCGGCGGAGCAUGC
This 611-nucleotide ribosomal RNA is filed under the name uncultured bacterium. Its description in RNAcentral is "bacterial SSU rRNA". It matches the Rfam family "Bacterial small subunit ribosomal RNA", at positions 335 to 942 of the family's 1533-position model. The record is from RNAcentral.